GGGAACACUACUUAUACAAAAAAAUUUGUCUCCACGAAGCAAGUUAUACCAAUGUUACUAUCUGGUUGGGGAAACAAAAGCAAGAUUCACAUAUAUAUAUAGUAUUUUGCAUGCCUCUGCUAUUUCUUAGUAGUGGAACUAUAGUUGAUAGGGAAGCCAAUAUCCUAUAACGGCCGCUUCCACUCAUCGGGAUCUCCAUGUCAGUGCCUACUCUCUCCCAUUAUAAUCACAACUUUAAUGCUUUUCCAUAGCUUUGGAUAGAUAACCUUGAAUAAUGCUAACUUUCUUU
RNAcentral lists this unclassified non-coding RNA (289 nucleotides) under Hevea brasiliensis (rubber tree). Lineage: Eukaryota; Viridiplantae; Streptophyta; Magnoliopsida; Malpighiales; Euphorbiaceae. The record is from RNAcentral.